GUCUGUUCGUCGAGGUGAGGUGAGUCAGAGAGACAGACUCAGUCAGGAUGAAAGGAGAAAGAGGGUGGUGGUAAUAGGAGGAGGAGGAGGGUUUCGUUAGUGCUAGUGUUAGCCUUCGUCAAGGCUGGCGGGCUGGCUGGCUAGCUAGGUCGUCGCUCAAGGUCAAACAGGUGCCGGCCGCCCGUACCCCAGUGCCUCCCCUUCCGGCGUCGUCGUCAUAGGAGGAGGAGGAGGACGGCGGCGGCGGCUCCCGGGCGGCGCGCCUCCGGGUCGGUCCCCUCCGCCGGCGCCGGGUAAGGGAGUCGUCGUCCACGGCGUUCCCCCUCCUGCGCCGUUGGUCCCUAAGUGGCCGCGGGGGGACGUCGGCGGCGUCGGUUCCCUGCUACGCCGGCGUCCGUCCCCGUCCCCGGCACGACGUGCACCGUGGCCGUGCGCCGUGGGGCCGCUGCCGUCCCCGCGCCGCGCGCCCCGGCCGUGGAGGAGGGGACGGGGACAUCGGCGUCCCGGCAACCCGGCGGACGGAGGGCUGGACGCGGUUCGUUACCUUCUUGGAAGUCUCGGGGUCCUUCGCUAGGGCCGCAGCUCGUUCCGCUAAGCCAAGGGCGGCGCCGGCCCGUUCCCGUCGCGGCCGUCGUCCACGGACCACUUCCGGUUGGUAAAGUAGCGGGUCGAGGGUCUGUUCCUGGAGGUGGUGAUGGUACAAAGCUAGUGAGGCCUCCAGUGGAGCGCCCAGCAGUUGGCGCGGCACUAGUUGCUCGACCACUCGGACGUGUCCCGCUGGAUGGAGCCGCCCUCCGACGGCCGCAUGCUGCCGUCCUUCUCGGAGAUGUGCCGGCCGGGCAACGGCAAGCGAAGGUUCCUCAAAGUCUAGUGAGACGAACUGCUGCUGUUACCGAGGCCGAGACGGAGGGUCUCCGCCGUCUCCUUAAAGUUCCACCACUAAUUCAAGCGGCGCGCGCGGCUGGAGGUAGCGGAGCCCUACAAAGACCGGCCCUCCGUGCGCCUCCGAGGAGUCCUCCGCAACGUCCAGGAACUGUAACACGACGCGCUCGACGGGAGACGUUCUAUACGCGGUAAACCUGCCAGCAAGAAGAGCGGACUGGACCCGUCCUCCGUCGGGGAGCCGCUGCCUAAUCUCUCGACCGCGCCCAAAAUGGUCUCGUAGGCCGGAUGAGUCUACCCGGAGAGUGAGUUAUAACUAUACAGUCGAUGUCGAAAGUAACUCGGUGACGGACACUAUCUAAUACGGCGCGUCGAGGACGCAAGACUGUAGGUAAGCUCCGGGGAGAGUCUGCGGCUUGCACAAUUCUAGUUCUUCCGUGAUUCUCCUCAUUUCCACCUUCAAUGAGUAGCACCGUUGUACGCUUCUUUCAUGGCCUAUAGACCAGACUGUUGAGUCCGUUGAGCUCUCGAGUGAAAAGGACAACUGCUUCCCCCGUGUCAUUUCAGUCAGCAUGUUAUGAAAGUCCUCUGUAUGCCGAAACGGUAGGUCGUGUGCAUGGACGGAACGGAGGUUCAACCGUUAGUCGUCGCAGGUUUAAUGAACGGAUACCUCCAGACGUUUUAUCACCUCCCUGUCUCCAUGAGGUUCUCUGAUUUAGUCUUAGUCUAUUCUCGUGAGAACCUACUCUGUACAGUCAUGGGCGCACUAGCCCUCGCACUAUAUUGGGUCUACCACUUUGUGUUACGAAUAGUCCUCCUAGGAAUACGCUUUCUCAAGCCGUAAUUCUAAUCGCUAGCAGACCGUAGUCAUCUACGUGCCUAAAAUGGUCGGGGUGCCGAAUUCAUGUUGCUCUGACCAUCUCUUUUCCUAACAUGUGGAUCUCAACCAGUUACCUUAUACUACUUGUUCUUUUACCAUUUACCACCGUUUCACUCUUCGACCUACACGCAGUUAAAACGGGCAUUGCACGGUCUGUUUGAACGAGCACUAAAGACGGUGGUUGAACGAGUCUACACGGUUCUGAGCCCUUACCUGAAGCGAGACCUCGGACAAGAAGGUGGGUACUCACGUGCGGGCCUAGUUCACCUCGCUCGAGAGUUUCGAGCCAUGGUACUCCGUUACUUGUAAGAACCCGGGGUCGCGGCCCUCGAGCUAGACGAAUAACCUUAGGAAGGACUAUUGUUGCCGAGCGAAAUACCACUAGACUUCGCGCACACGCUUUAUCUAGAGCCUUAUCAAAGCGUCACGACAACAUGCUUCGUCCACAAGUUUAACUUGUUCGUUUAAAUACGUUUAUAACGUGACUUCUAUUUGCAGUUCCACCCCCCGUCCUUGUGACACGACCACCUACGAAACAGCGCCGCAUAGGGAGACCAGUGGCUGUCUGGAUGUUAGUAUAAACCACGACUACACUGGGUAGGAGUAGGACUGCUCCUGUCGUCAGGAAGUUAGCGACGACAACAUCGGAGGGUUCUAACCGGGCUCCAAUGCUCCAUGCGUCCCAAUCAAAGACGAGUCCGCGUGGCCGUUCUCGACUAUCUCCUAAACAUGUUCCAGGCCGUUCUAGGUGUCUUUCCUGGUCAGUCAUCACCGUACUAAUCCCUCGAUGAAUAUAGUAAAUUUUUUAGCUGGCCACUCUUCGGGGUCGCCUAUUAUAAGAUGUCCCUACCGCAAUCGCUCCCGGUCAAAAUGGUUCAAGACAACAAACUUGAGUUACGCUAGGCUUUUCGUACACGGAGGGACCUCCGUUUAAUGGUCGGUGUACACUGAAAGUAGCACCAAGUCUUUGCGGUGGUGUGCUCUGAUAAACGCGUGUUGGUGUUACUAUUCUUGAGCUACCUGUCCUCACCCUUGUAUGAGGGUCCAUGGCAACACCUGUGCUUCUAGACAGUAGGCUGACUUAAACUGAAGAUGAACACGUCGGUACGACCGUAGUUCCCGUGGUCGGCAGGGCGAGUAAUAGUGCAGAACACCCUGCUCUUGUUGAAAUGUCGACUACCCAACGUCUGAGAGUGGUUGUUGGAGACGAUGUGGAUGCGCUCCACGUGAGCCAGCCACAGCUAACAAGGUGGACGUAUGAUACGAGUAGACCGGCGGAAGGCACGGGCCAAGAUGUACCUCGGUCUCUCGAGGCUGUCGCCGAGAUACCGUUCACCCGGGCCACCCGCACCUGGCGUCAGGCCGAGCAGCCGCAGUGCACCAUGGGCCCGGGGGCCGCCACGUCGACAAUUCGGGGAAGGUCGGGAGUUCCUGUUACACUUCUUGCAGUACAAAAUGACGACUUCGGGCACUUCCGCCUCUAAUUUUACGAGGAAUUCAGUCGUACAGCGGGGAACAGUAACAUUAAUACACUUCUUUCAUCAUUAUUAGACGGUCGCCGACAGCGUCACGCGGGAUGAUACGACCAGAUACGAACGAAUUCAUGGUAGAUACACACAUGAAACAGUACGACAUUUGCAACUUGGAGCUCAUGAAAACUCCAGACCUCGAACUUUUGGUCUCGUAAGUUCGGUGCGGAACGCGACAAGAAGAAGAAGAAGAAGAAGAAAAACAACAAAAUAAUUCUAGUGAACCGAGAUAGGACCACUGCAGCUCCUGCUUACACGCCACAUUCAAACGUUCAAUCAAAGAC
RNAcentral lists this ribosomal RNA (3575 nucleotides) under Triticum aestivum (bread wheat). RNAcentral's name for it is "partial small subunit ribosomal RNA". The record is from RNAcentral. Lineage: Eukaryota; Viridiplantae; Streptophyta; Magnoliopsida; Poales; Poaceae.